RNAcentral lists this ribosomal RNA (969 nucleotides) under fungal endophyte. RNAcentral describes it as "eukaryotic LSU rRNA". The stretch from base 436 to 969 matches the Rfam family "Eukaryotic large subunit ribosomal RNA", at positions 1 to 539 of the family's 3401-position model. Lineage: Eukaryota; Fungi. The record is from RNAcentral.
AAUUAUUCACCCUUGUCUUUUGCGUACUUCUUGUUUCCUUGGUGGGUUCGCCCACCACUAGGACAAACAUAAACCUUUUGUAAUUGCAAUCAGCGUCAGUAACAAAUUAAUAAUUACAACUUUCAACAACGGAUCUCUUGGUUCUGGCAUCGAUGAAGAACGCAGCGAAAUGCGAUAAGUAGUGUGAAUUGCAGAAUUCAGUGAAUCAUCGAAUCUUUGAACGCACAUUGCGCCCUUUGGUAUUCCAAAGGGCAUGCCUGUUCGAGCGUCAUUUGUACCCUCAAGCUUUGCUUGGUGUUGGGCGUCUUGUCUCUAGCUUUGCUGGAGACUCGCCUUAAAGUAAUUGGCAGCCGGCCUACUGGUUUCGGAGCGCAGCACAAGUCGCACUCUCUAUCAGCAAAGGUCUAGCAUCCAUUAAGCCUUUUUUUCAACUUUUGACCUCGGAUCAGGUAGGGAUACCCGCUGAACUUAAGCAUAUCAAUAAGCGGAGGAAAAGAAACCAACAGGGAUUGCCCUAGUAACGGCGAGUGAAGCGGCAACAGCUCAAAUUUGAAAUCUGGCUCUUUUAGAGUCCGAGUUGUAAUUUGCAGAGGGCGCUUUGGCUUUGGCAGCGGUCCAAGUUCCUUGGAACAGGACGUCACAGAGGGUGAGAAUCCCGUACGUGGUCGCUGGCUAUUGCCGUGUAAAGCCCCUUCGACGAGUCGAGUUGUUUGGGAAUGCAGCUCUAAAUGGGAGGUACAUUUCUUCUAAAGCUAAAUAUUGGCCAGAGACCGAUAGCGCACAAGUAGAGUGAUCGAAAGAUGAAAAGCACUUUGGAAAGAGAGUCAAACAGCACGUGAAAUUGUUGAAAGGGAAGCGCUUGCAGCCAGACUUGCUUACAGUUGCUCAUCCGGGUUUCUACCCGGUGCACUCUUCUGUAGGCAGGCCAGCAUCAGUUUGGGCGGUAGGAUAAAGGUCUCUGUCACGUAC